UUUUAUUUGCCCAUUGCUGAGGUCAGGGUUAGAUUUGAUAUGUCUAGACUCUAGACGGGGGGACUUUGGCCGUAUCUAAUCGGAGUCGCCCUUAACAACCCGACGUGUUUGAUAUAUUUUAAAAGUAUCUGUCCGAAUCUCUAUUCAAUCGCAUGUGAAUCACCUGCUAAUUGCGGCUUUAUCAGACGAGCGGUUAUUACAAAAGUGGACAGUUGCGUACUUCGAACCCAGGAUGGGGCCAUUAGCCAGUUUAACACGUGAACCUAUGGUCAAGCAAGAGCUUACAAAUCAUACGAUGCUUACGCGAAAUGAACACGAGAAAGCAUACUACUUUACUUUAAGGAAACCCCAUAAAAAAGACACAUUUUAUUUUUUACACAUUUGUUGUAUGUUGUAUUUGUGCCUUAGGAGCCCUUCUUCAAAAUAGUCCUACAUACGCCUCUGAUUUUUAACAGAUUAGGUGGCAAGAAGAAGAAUUUCGCAUUCACACACAUGUAUGUGUAAUGCAAGAACAGCAGAUCACCCGCAAAAGCUUUUAACAUGGCGAAAGAAGAAAGAGCCAGAGACAGUGAGAGAGGGAGAGAGAAAAAGCUAAUGCCGCCAGCAUGUCAACAAAACAGCCGACUGCUUUUGAGCCACGAGAGCGAAAACCGGUAAAAACCGACUACAGGCCACCAAAAGACAGCAAACAUUCGAAUACAAAGUCAGCAAACAUUGCCCAUUUAUCAGAGGCACGCAUUGAACUUGAAAUUUGCCGCUGCUUUUGCCAAUUUCUUGCGUUUAUCUCUAUUUCUUUCUUGCGCGAAGGGAACGGACAUCGUGGGAGCUUACACAAGAGCGAACGAGAGCGGUAGUAAGCGCAAAGAGCAAGAUGGAGCGAGAGUAGUUUUCCUUUUGUUAUUGUUGCGGCCCGUUAUCACGUUGCAAGAGCGUGAUGCUUCACUGAGAUAUUACACGCUGAGAAAACUGGAGCGCGUUCUUAAGUUCAGAUGAACUGAAUGAUCUGUCAUUUAAACAAAACUAAUAGAACUGUUAUAUUUAGAAUUCGGAAUGUAAAUAAAAGACUUCUUCUGUCUUUAAGCCUCAUUUUGUAAUAAUAAUAAGUUUGUAUCGUUGUAGAUAAUCAAGUACUUUUAUGUCAUCAAUUUGCAAGUGAAAUAAAAACGGUAAUCUUUUCAUUUUCUUUGACCUAGUAAGGUAAUAUAAGGAAAUAAAUUAUGCAGCUUACGAAAUA
Long non-coding RNA from Drosophila simulans, 1234 nucleotides. RefSeq lists it as uncharacterized. The transcript has 2 exons. NCBI's taxonomy places the organism in Eukaryota, Metazoa, Arthropoda, Insecta, Diptera, Drosophilidae. The record is from RefSeq and is a predicted model, not a curated record.